GACGAACGCUGGCGGCGUGCCUAAUACAUGCAAGUAGAACGCUGAAGGAGGAGCUUGCUUCUCUGGAUGAGUUGCGAACGGGUGAGUAACGCGUAGGUAACCUGCCUGUUAGCGGGGGAUAACUAUUGGAAACGAUAGCUAAUACCGCAUAAGAGUAGAUGUUGCAUGACAUUUGCUUAAAAGGUGCAAUUGCAUCACUACCAGAUGGACCUGCGUUGUAUUAGCUAGUUGGUGGGGUAACGGCUCACCAAGGCGACGAUACAUAGCCGACCUGAGAGGGUGAUCGGCCACACUGGGACUGAGACACGGCCCAGACUCCUACGGGAGGCAGCAGUAGGGAAUCUUCGGCAAUGGACGGAAGUCUGACCGAGCAACGCCGCGUGAGUGAAGAAGGUUUUCGGAUCGUAAAGCUCUGUUGUAAGAGAAGAACGAGUGUGAGAGUGGAAAGUUCACACUGUGACGGUAUCUUACCAGAAAGGGACGGCUAACUACGUG
RNAcentral lists this ribosomal RNA (495 nucleotides) under uncultured bacterium. Its description in RNAcentral is "partial 16S ribosomal RNA". It matches the Rfam family "Bacterial small subunit ribosomal RNA", at positions 28 to 507 of the family's 1533-position model. The record is from RNAcentral.